CUACCUGCAGAACUUUUUAAUUACUCCCGUCUUGAGUAUUUAACGAUCAGUGACGUAGCAAACUCUGGUUUCCAAUUCCCACGAUUUGCAAACCUGAACAAUAUAUACACUCUGAUAUUAAGGAACUGUUCCAUCAC
Prunus avium (sweet cherry) is the source of this 137-nucleotide non-coding RNA. NCBI's taxonomy places the organism in Eukaryota, Viridiplantae, Streptophyta, Magnoliopsida, Rosales, Rosaceae. The record is from RefSeq and is a predicted model, not a curated record.